AUGGAAUAUUACUCAGCAUUAAAAGAGAAUAAAAUUAUGGCAUUUGCAGGUAAAUGGAUGGAGUUGGAGAAUAUUAUGCUAAGUGAAGUAAGCCAAUCCCAAAAAACCAAAUGCCAAAUGUUUUCUCUGAUAUGUGGAUGCUGAUCCAUAAUGGGGAUGGUAGGGAGCAUGGGAGGAAGGGAGGAACUUUAGAUAGGGCAAAGGGGAGGGAGAGGAACAGAGGGGGCAAAGGGAUA
Molecule: long non-coding RNA, 236 nt
Filed under: Marmota monax (woodchuck)
Lineage: Eukaryota; Metazoa; Chordata; Mammalia; Rodentia; Sciuridae
Source: RNAcentral